AACGAACGCUGGCGGCAGGCCUAACACAUGCAAGUCGAACGAGAAGCCACCUUCGGGUGGUGGAAAGUGGCAGACGGGUGAGUAACGCGUGGGAACGUGCCUUUCGGUUCGGGAUAACCCAGGGAAACUUGGGCUAAUACCGGAUACGCCCUCCGGGGGAAAGCUUCAUUGCCGAAAGAUCGGCCCGCGUCGGAUUAGCUAGUUGGUGGGGUAAUAGCCUACCAAGGCGACGAUCCGUAGCUGGUCUGAGAGGAUGACCAGCCACACUGGGACUGAGACACGGCCCAGACUCCUACGGGAGGCAGCAGUGGGGAAUAUUGGACAAUGGGCGAAAGCCUGAUCCAGCCAUGCCGCGUGGGUGAAGAAGGCCUUAGGGUUGUAAAUCCCUUUCAGCGGGGACGAUAAUGACGGUACCCGCAGAAGAAGUCCCGGCUAACUCCGUGCCAGCAGCCGCCGCGG
RNAcentral lists this ribosomal RNA (459 nucleotides) under uncultured bacterium. RNAcentral describes it as "partial 16S ribosomal RNA". It matches the Rfam family "Bacterial small subunit ribosomal RNA", at positions 29 to 523 of the family's 1533-position model. The record is from RNAcentral.